AGUGGGGAAUUUUGGACAAUGGGCGCAAGCCUGAUCCAGCAAUGCCGCGUGAGUGAAGAAGGCCUUCGGGUUGUAAAGCUCUUUUGUCAGGGAAGAAACGGCUCUAGCUAAUAUCUGGAGCUAAUGACGGUACCUGAAGAAUAAGCACCGGCUAACUACGUGCCAGCAGCCGCGGUAAUACGUAGGGUGCAAGCGUUAAUCGGAAUUACUGGGCGUAAAGCGUGCGCAGGCGGUUUUGUAAGUCUGUCGUGAAAGCCCCGGGCUCAACCUGGGAAUUGCGAUGGAGACUGCAAGGCUUGAAUCUGGCAGAGGGGGGUAGAAUUCCACGUGUAGCAGUGAAAUGCGUAGAGAUGUGGAGGAACACCGAUGGCGAAGGCAGCCCCCUGGGUCAAGAUUGACGCUCAUGCACGAAAGCGUGGGGAGCAAA
Molecule: ribosomal RNA, 427 nt
Filed under: uncultured Massilia sp.
Lineage: Bacteria; Pseudomonadati; Pseudomonadota; Betaproteobacteria; Burkholderiales; Oxalobacteraceae
Description: bacterial SSU rRNA
Rfam family: Bacterial small subunit ribosomal RNA
Source: RNAcentral